RNAcentral lists this ribosomal RNA (503 nucleotides) under uncultured bacterium. Its description in RNAcentral is "partial 16S ribosomal RNA". It matches the Rfam family "Bacterial small subunit ribosomal RNA", at positions 30 to 523 of the family's 1533-position model. The record is from RNAcentral.
AUUGAACGCUGGCGGCAGGCUUAACACAUGCAAGUCGAGCGGGGUGAUGGUGCUUGCACUAUCACUUAGCGGCGGACGGGUGAGUAAUGCUUAGGAAUCUGCCUAUUAGUGGGGGACGACAUCUCGAAAGGGAUGCUAAUACCGCAUACGUCCUACGGGAGAAAGCAGGGGAUCACUCGUGACCUUGCGCUAAUAGAUGAGCCUAAGUCGGAUUAGCUAGGUGGUGGGGUAAAGGCCUACCAAGGCGACGAUCUGUAGCGGGUCUGAGAGGAUGAUCCGCCACACUGGGACUGAGACACGGCCCAGACUCCUACGGGAGGCAGCAGUGGGGAAUAUUGGACAAUGGGGGGAACCCUGAUCCAGCCAUGCCGCGUGUGUGAAGAAGGCCUUAUGGUUGUAAAGCACUUUAAGCGAGGAGGAGGCUCUUUUGGUUAAUACCCAAGAUGAGUGGACGUUACUCGCAGAAUAAGCACCGGCUAACUCUGUGCCAGCAGCCGCGGUAA